UUGCCCGACGGACGGUCGGCUUUCGACUCGACGAACACGCCCGACUCACAACCGAGCAACGGACGUCCGACUUAAAGCCUUCGAUCGUCGGAUUACACGACAGUCGGGAGGCUGGUCCAAAGUCGGGAUUUGCCCUACCUUCGUGGCAGCAUGCAUUGCCGAACAUCCUAAUUAAUCUAUCGGGCUAGCGACUUAUGUGAUCAAAAGCAUUCCACGACACAUGAAAGAAGAAGAGACAUACAAAGGAAAAAAAGUUCAAGUCCACAAGACUGUGACUUUGAUUUCAUUGAAGUUCAGGUCAAG
Molecule: long non-coding RNA, 303 nt
Filed under: Elaeis guineensis (African oil palm)
Lineage: Eukaryota; Viridiplantae; Streptophyta; Magnoliopsida; Arecales; Arecaceae
Description: long non-coding RNA (EGUI_LNC052044)
Source: RNAcentral